UUGCCUAGUAACGGCGAGUGAAGCGGCAACAGCUCAAAUUUGAAAUCUGGCCCUUGGGUCCGAGUUGUAAUUUGUAGAGGAUGUUUUUGGUGCGGUAUCUUCCGAGUUCCUUGGAACAGGACGCCUUAGAGGGUGAGAGCCCCGUACGGUUGAAUACCUAGCCUCUGUAAAACUCCUUCGACGAGUCGAGUAGUUUGGGAAUGCUGCUCUAAAUGGGAGGUAAAUUUCUUCUAAAGCUAAAUACUGGCCAGAGACCGAUAGCGCACAAGUAGAGUGAUCGAAAGAUGAAAAGCACUUUGAAAAGAGGGUUAAAUAGCACGUGAAAUUGUUGAAAGGGAAGGAUUUAUGACCAGACUUUUUCUGGGCGGAUCAUCCGGUGUUCUCACCGGUGCACUUCGCUCAGUUUAGGCCAGCAUCGAUUUUCGGUGGGGGAUAAAAGCUUUAGGAAUGUGGCUCCUCCGGGAGUGUUAUAGCCUAUUGUAUAAUACCCUACUGGGGAUCGAGGUACGCGCUUCUGCAAGGAUGCUGGCGUAAUGGUUAUCAAUCACCCGUCUUGAAACACGGACCAAGGAGUCGAACAUUUGUGCAAGUGUUUGGGUGUUAAACCCUCACGCGUAAUGAAAGUGAACGGAGGUGAGAGCCCUUACGGGUGCAUCAUCGACCGAUCCUGAUGUUUUCGGAUGGAUUUGAGUAAGAGCAUAACUGUUCGGACCCGAAAGAUGGUGAACUAUGCGUGGAUAGGGUGAAGCCAGAGGAAACUCUGGUGGAGGCUCGCAGCGGGUUCUGACGUGCAAAUCGAUCGUCAAAUCUGCGCAUGGGGGGCGAAAGACUAAUCGAACCAUCUAGUAGCUGGGUACCGCCGAA
Molecule: ribosomal RNA, 864 nt
Filed under: Discosia artocreas
Lineage: Eukaryota; Fungi; Ascomycota; Sordariomycetes; Amphisphaeriales; Sporocadaceae
Description: LSU rRNA
Rfam family: Eukaryotic large subunit ribosomal RNA
Source: RNAcentral